AGUGAACGCUGGCGGUAGGCCUAACACAUGCAAGUCGAACGGCAGCACAGUAAGAGCUUGCUCUUACGGGUGGCGAGUGGCGGACGGGUGAGGAAUACAUCGGAAUCUACUUUUUCGUGGGGGAUAACGUAGGGAAACUUACGCUAAUACCGCAUACGACCUACGGGUGAAAGCAGGGGAUCUUCGGACCUUGCGCGAUUGAAUGAGCCGAUGUCGGAUUAGCUAGUUGGCGGGGUAAAGGCCCACCAAGGCGACGAUCCGUAGCUGGUCUGAGAGGAUGAUAGCCCACACUGGAACUGAGACACGGUCCAGACUCCUACGGGAGGCAGCAGUCGGGAAUAUUGGACAAUGGGCGCAAGCCUGAUCCAGCCAUCCCGCGUGUGUGAAGAAGGCCUUCGGGUUGUAAAGCCCUUUUGUUGGGAAAGAAAAGCAGCAGGUUAAUACCCCGCUGUUCUGACGGUACCCAAAGAAUAAGCACCGGCUAACUUCGUG
RNAcentral lists this ribosomal RNA (492 nucleotides) under uncultured bacterium. RNAcentral's name for it is "partial 16S ribosomal RNA". It matches the Rfam family "Bacterial small subunit ribosomal RNA", at positions 29 to 507 of the family's 1533-position model. The record is from RNAcentral.